CAGCCGCGGCGAUCUGACCGCCGCGCCGCUCCCGGCGCGCGAACGGCGCAAGGUAGCGCGCUCGUUCUCGCUCGUCGCGCCGUUCCGGCCCAAACACCAGCGGGAGAAGGAGAUCGUCUACGAGAACCAGACAGGCCAGGCGAACGGGCGGCCGCCGCGGCCGCCACAGCGGCAGCGGCGCGGCUCGCGGGACUCGCUGCUGGGGGAGCGCGAGGCCAAACAGCGCCGGCCCGUGGCGCGCUCGGUCAGCAUGCCUAAGGACGCCCGCGCGGCCGGCUUCUUCAGAAGCAAGGAGAAGACGGUGCGGUAACCGGAUCUACGAAACAAGGUCCCGGACGCGCCGCUCUCACCUUGCCGAGGUCACCGAUGUCGGACGAGGUCGCCACUCGGUUCGUCUGCCGCCAGGGGUCACCGGAGGUCACGCUGUGGCGUUCGCUGCCCGUCGAGCCUCGAGCCAGUGCUCCGACCAAUCAUAACCAAUAACAAUAAACGCACGUGCGAUUGUUAUCGGCAGAACGCCAAUCACGCGCGGCGUUGGCGCAGGAUCCUUCGGGGGCUCCCACAGCGGUGGACGGGGAAGGUUGGCGGCUGUGCCUCGGGGUGGUAAGAUGUCGCGCCCCAUCCAUCCUGACCGAGGGUACAUUAGGCGGGCGAUUAACCGCGCUGUCGCUACACAAUCUGUAGGAGUCGGACCGGCAUCUACCGACGAAUCACUGUACGUGACCCGAGAGCGUGUGCCGACCUCAACUUUCACUAACUGGCGACGUCUAAUUACCUGUGGUUACGUGCGACGACCCGUGUCUCGCGCGCCCGCCCAGAACUGCUCCUCUGUCGAACCUGCGUGCCACGAAAGUAAAAAGUCGUCGCAGACCUGUCCCGUCGGGGCUGGCGUCCGCGUGGGUAAAGUGAACGUAGGUACAGGGUGCUUCGUUCUACCGCGCGAACACUCAACGACGUGACAGGCGUGUUUCGCCACGGAAUGUCGCCGUGUGCUAAUACAGCGGCGUGCGAAUUCCGCGGGCCGCUCCAGCGACCGGCGAGGCUGCGGCGGGGGAAGUGCUGUCCCGCUCGCUGGGACAACCUGGUCGGUCGGCGAGGCUGCAGCAAGGGACGUACUGUCCCGCUCGCUGGCACAACCUGGUCGGUCGGCGAGGCUGCAGCAAGGGACGUGCUGUCCCGUUCGCUGGCACAGCCUGGUCGGCCGUCACAAAGGGAGCCCGCUCAUGUUUAGCAAGUGCUUACCGAGUGUGUAACCAGUGUGGCUGUUUUAAUACCGGUGUAAAAGACGUGGUCAGCGAUUAAUCAGUGACUGGCGUGAGGGUGAGUUUUGUGACGGAAGUGGAAACGUUUCGCGAAUAUGUCAUAUGUUCUCUGCUUGAGCUUGCUCUCGUGAUGCGCUCGUUUGCUCUCGAGCAGACGUCGUGAAAAAUACAUAGUACUAACGUCAAAUGA
Molecule: long non-coding RNA, 1452 nt
Organism: Pollicipes pollicipes
Lineage: Eukaryota; Metazoa; Arthropoda; Thecostraca; Pollicipedomorpha; Pollicipedidae
Exons: 2
Source: RefSeq, a predicted model, not a curated record